GAUGAACGCUGGCGGCGUGCCUAAUACAUGCAAGUCGAGCGAACGGACGAGAAGCUUGCUUCUCUGAUGUUAGCGGCGGACGGGUGAGUAACACGUGGAUAACCUACCUAUAAGACUGGGAUAACUUCGGGAAACCGGAGCUAAUACCGGAUAAUAUUUUGAACCGCAUGGUUCAAAAGUGAAAGACGGUCUUGCUGUCACUUAUAGAUGGAUCCGCGCUGCAUUAGCUAGUUGGUAAGGUAACGGCUUACCAAGGCAACUAUGCAUAGCCGACCUGAGAGGGUGAUCGGCCACACUGUAACUGAGACACGGUCCAGACUCCUACGGGAGGCAGCAGUAGGGAAUCUUCCGCAAUGGGCGAAAGCCUGACGGAGCAACGCCGCGUGAGUGAUGAAGGUCUUCGGAUCGUAAAACUCUGUUAUUAGGGAAGAACAUAUGUGUAAGUAACUGUGCACAUCUUGACGGUACCUAAUCAGAAAGCCACGGCUAACUACGUG
RNAcentral lists this ribosomal RNA (497 nucleotides) under uncultured bacterium. RNAcentral describes it as "partial 16S ribosomal RNA". It matches the Rfam family "Bacterial small subunit ribosomal RNA", at positions 28 to 507 of the family's 1533-position model. The record is from RNAcentral.